Molecule: ribosomal RNA, 253 nt
Filed under: uncultured bacterium
Lineage: Bacteria
Description: partial 16S ribosomal RNA
Rfam family: Bacterial small subunit ribosomal RNA
Source: RNAcentral
UACAGAGGUCUCAAGCGUUGUUCGGAUUCAUUGGGCGUAAAGGGAGCGUAGGCGGGCUUGUAAGUCAGUGGUGAAAUCUGUGGGCUUAACCCACAAACUGCCAUUGAUACUGCAGGUCUAGAGUACAGUUGCCGUUGGCGGAAUAUGACAUGUAGUGGUGAAAUACUUAGAUAUGUCAUAGAACACCGAUUGCGAAGGCAGCUAACGAAACUGUAACUGACGCUGAGGCUCGAAAGUGCGGGGAUCAAACAGG